Molecule: ribosomal RNA, 498 nt
Filed under: uncultured bacterium
Lineage: Bacteria
Description: bacterial SSU rRNA
Rfam family: Bacterial small subunit ribosomal RNA
Source: RNAcentral
GGCUAACGCUGGCGGCGUGUCUUAGCCAUGCAAGUCGAGCGGACUUAUGGGGUAACUUAUAAGUCAGCGGCGGACGGCGGAGUAACACGUAGCUAACCUACCCUCUGGACGGGGAUAACCUACCGAAAGGUGGGCUAAUACCCGAUGUAGUCAUCCUGUAUAGGGGUGACGAAAGGUGGGCUUCUGUUUACAAGCUCAUGCUGGAGGAGGGGGCUGCGGCCUAUCAGGUAGUUGGUAGGGUAAUAGCCUACCAAGCCGAUGACGGGUAGCCGGCCUGAGAGGGUGACCGGCCCGAGGGGCACUGAGAUACGGGUCCCACUCCUACGGGAGGCAGCAGGCUAGAAAUUUGGGCAAUGGGGGAAACCCUGACCCAGUGACGCCGCGUGCAGGAAGGAGCCCUUCGGGGUGUAAACUGCUGUCGUGUAGGGAGAAGGGUACUAAGGUGAACAAUCUUAGUACUUGACGGUACUACAGGAGGAAGCCCAGGCUAACCUCGUG